CGCGAGAGAGCGCUCUCCCAUUUCCACACCUUAUCUUGCUUUAGCUUUGCCUUAGAGAAUGAAUUCCCUGGAGCCCCUCGACCAGGGAAUUUCCAAAAAGUAUAAAAGAACUUAAGGACCACUUAGCGUGGCUUAUCUUUUUUUACGUAUUUUUCAUGCCUGUAGUAACUGAUCUGUUUAUGUUAGCGCUGCGCGACCGUAUCAGCGAAAACUAACGGUGGAGGGAGG
RNAcentral lists this long non-coding RNA (228 nucleotides) under Arachis ipaensis. RNAcentral's name for it is "long non-coding RNA (AIPA_LNC001788)". The record is from RNAcentral. Lineage: Eukaryota; Viridiplantae; Streptophyta; Magnoliopsida; Fabales; Fabaceae.